This 67-nucleotide transfer RNA is filed under the name Magelona mirabilis. RNAcentral describes it as "tRNA-Phe". It matches the Rfam family "tRNA". From Rfam's summary of the family: Transfer RNA (tRNA) molecules are approximately 80 nucleotides in length. Their secondary structure includes four short double-helical elements and three loops (D, anti-codon, and T loops). Further hydrogen bonds mediate the characteristic L-shaped molecular structure. tRNAs have two regions of fundamental functional importance: the anti-codon, which is responsible for specific mRNA codon recognition, and the 3' end, to which the tRNAs corresponding amino acid is attached (by aminoacyl-tRNA synthetases). tRNAs cope with the degeneracy of the genetic code in two manners: having more than one tRNA (with a specific anti-codon) for a particular amino acid; and 'wobble' base-pairing, i.e. permitting non-standard base-pairing at the 3rd anti-codon position. The record is from RNAcentral. Lineage: Eukaryota; Metazoa; Annelida; Polychaeta; Spionida; Magelonidae.
GCUUAGGUAGCUUAUCAUUAAAGCAAAGCACUGAAGAUGCUUAGAAAGUAUUUAUUACUCCAAAGCA